RNAcentral lists this ribosomal RNA (892 nucleotides) under Burkholderia cepacia. Its description in RNAcentral is "bacterial SSU rRNA". It matches the Rfam family "Bacterial small subunit ribosomal RNA", at positions 163 to 1052 of the family's 1533-position model. Lineage: Bacteria; Pseudomonadati; Pseudomonadota; Betaproteobacteria; Burkholderiales; Burkholderiaceae. The record is from RNAcentral.
ACGGCCCUUCAUUAAGCCCCCUGUUUCCCCGGGGGGUGGAACGGCGGUAAACUCGCAACAUUCCUUAUGGGGAUACCCUGGAAACCGAUUAAUACGCAUACAUUAGUAUGGCGGGGUAAAGCCUCCCAAGGCGACGUCAUACUGCUUUAGAGGACGUCCACCCCCUGGAUUGAGACCGCCCCAGAUUCUUAGGGAGCAGCAGUGGGGAUUUUUGGACAAUGGGGAAAUCUGAUCCACAUGCCGCGUGUGUGAAGAAGCCUUCGGUUUGUAAAGCACUUUUUCCGGAAAGAAAUCCUUGCUCUAAUACAGUCGGAUGACGGUACCAGAGAAUAAGCACCGGCUAACUACGUGCCAGCAGCCGCGGUAAUACGUAGGGUGCAAGCGUUAUCGGAAUUACUGGGCGUAAAGCGUGCGCAGGCGGUUUGCUAAGUCCGAUGUGAAAUCCCCGGGCUCAACCUGGGAACUUCAUUGGUGACUGGCGGCUAGAGUAUGGCAGAGGGGGUAGAAUUCCACGUGUAGCAGUGAAAUGCGUAGAGAUUGGAGGAAUACCGAUGGCGAAGGCAGCCCCCUGGUCCAAUACUGACGCUCAUGCACGAAAGCGUGGGGAGCAAACAGGAUUAGAUACCCUGGUAGUCCACGCCCUAAACGAUGUCUACUAGUUGUUGGGGAUUCGUUUCCUUGUAAGUAGUAUCGCGGAACUUCACGCCCCGGGGAGUACGGUCCAGGAUUAAAACUCUAAGGAAUGCGGGGACCCCAUCACGCGGUGGAUGAGUGGAUUAAUUUAUGCAACCGCGAAAAACUCUUAUCCUACCCCUUAUCAUGUCCUGAAUACUGCCUGAGAAGGAGGGAGUGUCUCAAAGAGAAGCCCGGCGUCACGGUGCUGCUUGGGUUC